AGAAAGAGACAUUUCAGGAAAGCUGCACAUCAGAAAAUACUGGUCUCGACUGAAUUGCCAGCGCAGAUGGAGUGAAUCCACUGGCCUAAGGGGGAUUCAGAUGACUUGCUGCAUCUUGGAACACCUGGAAGUGGUAGUCUGAGGAGAAGACAUGCGAGAGAAGAAACAUCUGCCUCCAUAAAUUGAUUUCUUCUGCUCUUCAAGUGCCUGCCUGUGGAUUUAAGUGGAAUUAGAGGAGCUGCGGGAAGAUGCCCUACAGAAGAGAAUGGCAACCCACGCCAGUAUUCUUGCCUGGAGAAUUUCAUGGACAGAGGAGCCUGGCGGGCCACAGUCCAGAGGUCUCAAAGAGUCAGACACCACAGAAGCCACUUGGCAUGCACGCAGAGGAGCUACAGGGGAGGCAGGGGGUGUUCGCGUUUCCUCCCUGACAGUCAUCAGUGAACCAGAGAUUGCAGCUUCUGAAGCUGGCAGAGAGGUGACCUGUGUGAAGGCCUCUCCACCUCCUGGGGCAGAGAGCAUCCAGUGGAGCACUGUGCAGUUAUUAGAGGGAUAAUGGGAUUCAUUGCAGCAAGGACUGCUUGGCUGGG
Molecule: long non-coding RNA, 587 nt
Organism: Dama dama (fallow deer)
Lineage: Eukaryota; Metazoa; Chordata; Mammalia; Artiodactyla; Cervidae
Exons: 3
Source: RefSeq, a predicted model, not a curated record